This 253-nucleotide ribosomal RNA is filed under the name uncultured bacterium. RNAcentral describes it as "partial 16S ribosomal RNA". It matches the Rfam family "Bacterial small subunit ribosomal RNA", at positions 524 to 776 of the family's 1533-position model. The record is from RNAcentral.
UACGUAGGGUGCAAGCGUUGUCCGGAAUUAUUGGGCGUAAAGAGCUCGUAGGCGGUUUGUCGCGUCUGCUGUGAAAACUCGGGGCUUAACCCCGGGCCUGCAGUGGGUACGGGCAGACUAGAGUGCGGUAGGGGAGACUGGAAUUCCUGGUGUAGCGGUGAAAUGCGCAGAUAUCAGGAGGAACACCGGUGGCGAAGGCGGUUCUCUGGGCCUUACCUGACACUGAGGAGCGAAAGCGUGGGGAGCGAACAGG